GCGAGAGGCUCCGGGGCUAACAGCGGGCACCCAGCGCGAGUUCCCCACGCCCCAGCCUUGGUUUUCAACUUCCCGCUGCUUUUAGCUCGCAGCGUUGGAGAGGAUGGCUGUCAGUUCCGCGGAGAUGCAGCUGGGCGAGGAACAGAGGAGUUUCAGUGAUCUGAAGCAUUCUUUCAGUUCCAUUGUUUGACUUGGGCUGGAUUUCUCAGCUACACGCCUGGAUGCUUCAGAGAGUCCUCACUCUCCAUCUAGUAAAAGGUUACAGUUGAGACAUUGUUAUGUUAACCCAGAAUUUCACAGGAUCACCAAACUCCUCCUGUCUUUGUCAUCUUGCAGAAUUUUACCUUCAGAUACCUCCUGAGAUGGAUUGCCCUGCUGGGAAAUAGUGCAAUUCAGAAUGGAUCUCAGCACUGGCACCCAUGAGGAACCAGUCACUCCAAGUACAGCAAAAAUGCAGCAGCUGCUGCUUCACCUCCUCCUGCAAUUACUGAUGUAAGGCCCUUCAACACACGAGGCAUAAGUGCUGCCUAAUUCAAUCUGAGUAAAUCUUUAGAUGCUUUUCUGCUUCCUAUGUCUGAAUCAGAGGAAAUAAGGCUGUGUAAACAUCUGUUUUUCUAGGACUCUGAUAUCUGAGUCAAUAUCAAAGGAAAACAUUUUGAAAAGUAUCAUUUUGCUGCUGUAGAAAUCCUUGCCUCACCCAUACCUUAAGUACAGCGUGCAGUUAUGAUCACUGCAUCCCAAAGACACAAAUUAAUUAACAGAAAGUAAAUAUAAGGGAAACUAAACAGAUCAGAAAGAUGUGUGGCAAUAUUUCCCAGGUGUGUAUAAUUCCUAGAGCUACAAGGAUCAUGUACAGUAUUCACACCAGUGCCAUUGUCCUCUGUUCUUUGACAUAGCAGGGAGGAUUGUUGGCCACCUUACUUGAUAAAAGGAAAGUAUUCCCACAUAAGAUAGACCUUAACUUUGCUAAUUCCUUCCUUUUUUCUGUCCUAUUUAUGUAGUUUCCCUGGUGUAGCGUAUCUUCAAGGAUGGUGCCUGACAGCCUGUGAUUGAUUCAAACUGGUGUGGCUGCUUCAUGAAAAUUGGAUCUUAUUAGCUUAAAUCAAUUAAAAAGAACAGGGGAUUCUAAGGGGUAAUAAUAUUGGAGUAGAGGGACUUUUUCCCUGAACCAAUAUAUAUCCCUUUAAUUUGUUUUCAAAUAAAUUACAGUGCUUUAAAUGAAUUACUCAGACAGAAAAAGGACAGAAAAAUACAACUGGUUGAGGGGAAAGCCACUCCCAUGGAAGUUUACUGAGUGCCACUGAUUUGAUUUUGAACAGGCUUUUGAACAGGCUCUCCCUUUCUCUAGAACAUGCAUUCUACAUGUUUAUUUGAAGAAAUCUGACUCUUCUUUUUAAAUCUGAGAGUAUGGGUAAUGAAAGAUUCUCCCACAGAGAAGUGGAUUCUGUACAGCUAAGUGAGAUCCAAGACUUUCUCAAUGCCUUGUACCUGCAGCACUACCAUUUUCUGUCUCUGUUCAACACUGCACCAAAGUGUGUGGCUUUGCACAGAGCUGGCAUGAAACCUUCCCUGAUGGAUGUUCUUCACAGAAAGGAAUUGUUCUGCUAAAUUUAUAACCUUUCUUAAAGACACUUGCAUUUUACUUUUAGGAAAAAAAAAAUGCAUGAAAGUCUGAGAAGGUCUGAUUACUUCUGAAGGUCACAUAAUUGAUUUUCUUGAUUUAGAGGAGGUGGCUGCAGUAAAUUAAAAUAUCUGUAAGGUUUUAGGGUCUGUAUUAAGGAAGCAGGAACACAAAAUACUGGGAAGUUACCAAGUGAAUCGUCCAGAGACCUGCAGCCAGGACUGAAUUUAUAAACACUAGAGGAAAUUCUGCUGUCCCUCAGGCAACAGCUCAGCUGCAUGAAGUGAGGUAUGAAACCUAAUUACCCUGAGCUUGCAGGGCCCACGGCAUCAGUCAUAUGCUGCUUUUAGAAUCCUCCUAACUGGAUUUAUUUCAGUGACUCAGUUUUUAAGCCCCCCUUCAGCAGUACCCAAAUUAAUACGCAGAAGUGGGAAUUAUAGGAGUAGGCCAAAUUCAGCACUGUGAACUUGGCAUAGCUUCCACAGUCAGUAGAGAUGUGCAACAGCUGAGAAUGUGGCUCACUGACCACUCUCCGUUAAUUUAUGCUAUAAAACAGAUGAGACAACCUCAGCACCUGGGAAUGAUGGAAGUUUGCAAUGGAAGUUAAGAAGAAUCAGGUUUACACACACAACUUGUUUGCUUCAAAGCCCAAAUCUUGGUAGUUGUUUUCAUUCCUACCAUUUGUGCCACUGUUUUUACUCUGGAAGGAAACUACUGACAAUGUAUUUAUACUCAGUACUGCACUAGAGCUUAGUCAAACUCAGACUUAGCUCUUUAGAACUCCUUACUCUUUAGAACCUGUGAGAAUUGUAAUAAGAAUAUUUGCUUUUAUUUUGCUUAAAUUUCAAAAUAUCAUACUGGCAGUUUUAAUAAUACAAUUACAGAUUACUAAGUCUUUGUUCUGGUAGGUUUAAUAUACCAGAAAUUCAGGCAUUCUGGAUGCAAAUGCAUGCUUGCAAAAUAAAAUUUAUCCUAACCCAGUUGCAAAGCUAGUCUUGGAUAUUUUGAUGAAAAUUUGGAAACAUAUCUUUAAUGCUGGUCAUUAAAUCAAUGUGAAGCCCUGACUGUGUAAGUGCCCAUAAUAUGACCCAUUCAAAAUGCAUGUUUCAUAAGACUUCAUGAAAGGGCAUCAAGCAGUGGCAGGAAGGGCAGAAACAUUCAGCCUUUGCUCUGAACCUUCAGGAGUAAUUCACCAAGCCUUCCCCCAAAGCAUCUGCACAGUUAUGGCUUUGGGGUCACCAGAUGUGCUUGAACCACUUCCUUAAAGCUUGCUACUAUGAAUGUUUGAAAAAGGAAAAUGGGAAAAAAUAUUAUGCAUUGAGCUAUUCUCUUCCAAUAUAGCCCCAUACAGAUGCUGCUUUUGCAACACACUUCCACUGCAGGCGUAUGUAAGUUAAUAUUGUAAUAAAAACAGACAUCCAUGCAGUUAAGGAACUUCAUUUACUGCAGUUUCCUCUGUGGUCUGGAUUGUGCCUAGCAAAGAGUUAAAACAAGAAGCAUAGACAGAGCUCCAGGCAGUAGAAAGCCAGUUUGCACUGCUGAUUCAUGUGGGGACUCCAAAGGAACUGCUCCAUCUUCUGCUCUAAUAUGUUAAAAGGUGGAUGUGUCAGACAUAAAACAAUCUGUGCUUUUGCUGUGGGCAGUUCCACUUGCAGUGCUCUUGCAGAAAUGUUGUUACAAUGGGUCUGCAUUUGCUCCAAACCUUGCCCACAACACUGACUAGGCACAGAAAAAAGCAGCUUUCUUGUUUUGCAUACUUGUCAAUAAGAAUGGAGAAAGGAACAAACAGGGAGAGAAGCAUCAGUGCAGAGACAAGAAGGCUUUGAUUGGCUCAGCACUUUGAGAAAUGCAGCCUGUCCCUGCCCCUGUCAGGAGGCUGGAACAGGAGCUCCUGCCAAGCCCUGUACAACCAGUAAGUUUCCACUCUCUAGCUGCAUGAGCACACAUUUUUGUCUCCAAGAGGAAUGUGAGAUCAUCAUGUGAAUAGGAAUGGUGCAGAGUCCAAAGGGCUCCAAGCAGGACAACCACAGAUAUUGAUGAAAACAGUGUAUCUAGAGAAGUUGAAAACAUGCCUGAUAGGAAAUGGACUUUGUUUAUUAGGAUAAAUACAAGAAAGGGAACUGCUGUCAAUUACAACAGCUCCAGUUCCAGGUCAUGGAAGCACUUAGCACUGAACCACUUUGCAGAAGCCAGCUGGUUUUAUCUGAAAGUAAAUGCCAAGAAAAGAAGAUAAGCAAUACGUCAGGUCAGAUCCUUGUUGUCCCACUUCACCCUGUAAAUUUCACUUCUGUAAAUUUAGAACCUCCUAAAAGUUGUCCUACUUUUUUCCUCUGUUAUGACAUUUAGUAACUUCACCCUUCUGUAUGGAAAACUGGAAGUUUUGGUUAAACUCCCUGCACCAAAACCUUAUUGUCACAUUCGCUUUCUUUUCUUUAUUUUUUG
This is a long non-coding RNA of Passer domesticus (house sparrow), 4063 nucleotides long. RefSeq lists it as uncharacterized. The record is from RefSeq and is a predicted model, not a curated record. The transcript is spliced from 4 exons. NCBI's taxonomy places the organism in Eukaryota, Metazoa, Chordata, Aves, Passeriformes, Passeridae.